Molecule: ribosomal RNA, 856 nt
Filed under: Lactobacillus helveticus
Lineage: Bacteria; Bacillati; Bacillota; Bacilli; Lactobacillales; Lactobacillaceae
Description: partial 23S ribosomal RNA
Rfam family: Bacterial large subunit ribosomal RNA
Source: RNAcentral
AGGUCAAGUAGAAAAGGGCGCACGGUGAAUGCCUAGGCACUAAAAGCCGAUGAAGGACGUGACGAACUACGAAAAGCUUCGGGGAGCGGUAAGUACGCAGUGAUCCGGAGAUGUCCGAAUGGGGGAACCCAAUGCAGCGAUGCAUUAUUGGUUGAUGAAUAGAUAGUCAAUCAAAGGAAUACGCAGUGAACUGAAACAUCUAAGUAGCUGCAGGAAGAGAAAGAAAAAUCGAUUUCCUUAGUAGGCCCCGUAAGCGAAAUUGCAAGCGCGCCUAGCAGAAUCCUGAGUAGGCCGGGACACGAGAAAUCCCGGUUGAAACCGCGAGGACCAUCUCGCAAGGCUAAAUACUAAUUAGUGACCGAUAGUGAACCAGUACCGUGAGGGAAAGGUGAAAAGAACCCCGGAAGGGGAGUGAAAUAGAACCUGAAACCGUGUGUCUACAAGUAGUCAAAGCACAUUAAAGUGCAAUGGCGUGCCUUUUGUAGAAUGAACCGGCGAGUUACGUUAUCUAGCGAGGUUAAGUCAGAAAAGACGGAGCCGGAGCGAAAGCGAGUCUGAAUAGGGCGAGAAGUUAGGUGACGUAGACCCGAAACCAAGUGACCUACCCAUGACCAGGCUGAAGGCGUGGUAAAACGCGCUGGAGGGCCGAACCCACGUAAGUUAAAAAUUGCGGGGAUGAGUUGUGGGUAGCGGUGAAAUUCCAAACGAACUUGGAGAUAGCUGGUUCUCUCCGAAAUAGCUUUAGGGCUAGCCUCGUGGAGAGGAUAAUGGAGGUAGAGCUCUGUUUGGACUAGGGGCCCGUCAGGGGUUACUGAAUCCAGAUAAACUGCGAAUUCCAGAUAUCCAUACACGGGAG